RNAcentral lists this ribosomal RNA (323 nucleotides) under uncultured bacterium. Its description in RNAcentral is "bacterial SSU rRNA". It matches the Rfam family "Bacterial small subunit ribosomal RNA", at positions 29 to 355 of the family's 1533-position model. The record is from RNAcentral.
AUUGAACGCUGGCGGAAUGCUUUACACAUGCAAGUCGAGCGGCAGCGCGGGGCAACCUGGCGGCGAGCGGCGAACGGGUGAGUAAUGCAUCGGAACGUACCCAGUCGUGGGGGAUAACUGUCCGAAAGGACAGCUAAUACCGCAUACGUCCUGAGGGAGAAAGCGGGGGAUCGCAAGACCUCGCGCGAUUGGAGCGGCCGAUGCCGGAUUAGCUAGUUGGUAGGGUAAAGGCCUACCAAGGCGACGAUCCGUAGCUGGUCUGAGAGGACGACCAGCCACACUGGAACUGAGACACGGUCCAGACUCCUACGGGAGGCAGCAGU